Molecule: transfer RNA, 82 nt
Filed under: Ipomoea nil (Japanese morning glory)
Lineage: Eukaryota; Viridiplantae; Streptophyta; Magnoliopsida; Solanales; Convolvulaceae
Rfam family: tRNA
About the family: Transfer RNA (tRNA) molecules are approximately 80 nucleotides in length.
Source: Rfam by way of RNAcentral
GAGGGCGUGCCGGACUGGUUAUCGGGCAUGACUAGAAAUCAUGUGGGCUUUGCCCGUGCAGGUUUGAAUCAUGUCGCUCACG